UAUAUACUAUGAUUUAACAACACAGCAGCUAUUUUUUAAUGAAUAAUAUAUACUGAAAACGAUAUGGUGAAAGAGUCGAACAUUUCUGUUACAUGGGCUAAUUAGAGGAAACACUUAAUUUGCCUUCUGAUAAACCCGUCUGGCCCAGCUGUCUCAGAUUCCAAGCAUAAUUGAACAAACUGCCGACGUGUAUCUCACGGAGUAAUUAAUCUGCCGCACGUUAAUUACAGGAAUGUGUCUGUUGGACGGCCAAAUCGUCCGCCGUAGUUGUGACGCACUUGGUUAUUUUAGGAACGUGAAUGUUAAAUGAAUGAGAGCGAAUGUGAAACCAAGUCAAUGGCAGCCCGGUUGCUGUUACACAGAUUGGCCACAAGAGGGCGGCGUUUCACCAGCAAGGGAAGCCCUGCCUGGGAGACAGGCACGUAAAAGGGGGUGUAAUUGGUUGGGCCCGCUCAGGUGAAAGCACACCUCUUGUCUGGGGACACAAAACUGUCUCCCGGUGUGUGUCUGCAGCCCAGUUGGGUCAAAAGGACAUGCAGUGCUGGGACAAACACACACAGAGGCCUCUUCACUCAUCCUUCCUCCAACCCCAACAAUCGGCCCAGAUACCUGGGAAAGAGGCCCAACGGUGACAAGGACCUUUUUCUGCUUGAAUGCCUCAGGCCAGUCCCUGGACAGAUGAGUCUGGCUGCUUUGUCACUGGAACAGGUUUUUAGCAUCAGGCCGCCAACACACACACAUCUCGUAACAGAAGACUCUUGUCUUUAAAGCUGCGAUGAACAUAAACACGAAUUUUGGAUUAUUA
Non-coding RNA from Doryrhamphus excisus (bluestripe pipefish), 805 nucleotides. Lineage: Eukaryota; Metazoa; Chordata; Actinopteri; Syngnathiformes; Syngnathidae. The record is from RefSeq and is a predicted model, not a curated record.